This 494-nucleotide ribosomal RNA is filed under the name uncultured bacterium. Its description in RNAcentral is "partial 16S ribosomal RNA". It matches the Rfam family "Bacterial small subunit ribosomal RNA", at positions 28 to 507 of the family's 1533-position model. The record is from RNAcentral.
GACGAACGCUGGCGGCGUGCUUAACACAUGCAAGUCGAACGGUGAAGCGCCUUCCUUUUUGGUGGGUGUGGAUGAGUGGCGAACGGGUGAGUAACACGUGAGUAACCUGCCCCCUUCUUCUGGAUAACCGCAUGAAAGUGUGGCUAAUACGGGAUAUUCUGGGUCUGUCGUAUGAUGGGUCUGGGAAAGAUAUUGUUUCGGUGGGGGAUGGGCUCGCGGCCUAUCAGCUUGUUGGUGGGGUGAUGGCCUACCAAGGCGGUGACGGGUAGCCGGCCUGAGAGGGUGGACGGUCACACUGGGACUGAGACACGGCCCAGACUCCUACGGGAGGCAGCAGUGGGGAAUAUUGCACAAUGGGCGCAAGCCUGAUGCAGCGACGCCGCGUGAGGGAUGGAGGCCUUCGGGUUGUGAACCUCUUUCGCCAGUGAAGCAGGCCUGCCUCGUUUGUGGGUGGGUUGACGGUAGCUGGAUAAGAAGCGCCGGCUAACUACGUG